AUGCAAGCAUUCCUCGCCUACUCGAUCUUUACGAAUCCAUGUUCGAGGUCUUUCUUUCCGCGUCCAGCAACGCAACCUCGGCUCCUCCUGUCCUCGGUUCCGGCAGCGAGGACGGGUGCUGCUGCCACCGCAAGAAGAUGCGGUGGGCCGGGCCGGAGCGUGGUGACCGCGGCGUCAUCGUCCCCGGCGGUGGCCGCCGUGGCGACGGACGUUCCCGGGACGAUGAAGGCCUGGGCGUACGAAGAGUAUGGGGACGCCAGCGUGCUCAAGCUCGAUGAGGCCGUGUCGGUGCCGGCGGUGGGCGAGGACCAGGUGCUGGUCCGGGUGGCAGCCGCGGCGCUCAACCCCGUCGAUUCCAAGCGGCGUAUGGGCAAGUUCAAGGCCACCGACUCCCCACUCCCGACUGUGCCAGGGUACGACAUGGCCGGAGUGGUCGUCAAGGUCGGCAGCCAGGUGAAAAACCUCAAGGAGGGCGACGAGGUGUACGGCCACAUCAGCGAGAAGGUCCUCGAGGGACCCAAGCAGUUCGGCUCGCUGGCAGAGUACACCGCCGUGGAGGAGAAGCUGGUGGCGCUCAAGCCCAAGAGCAUCGACUUCGCGCAGGCCGCCGGUCUGCCGCUCGCCAUCGAGACCGCCCAUGAGGGCCUCGAGAGGGCGGGCUUCUCCGCCGGCAAGUCCAUCCUCGUCCUCGGCGGCGCCGGCGGAGUCGGGACCCUCGUCAUCCAGCUGGCGAAGCAAGUUUACGGCGCGUCGACGGUGGCGGCCACGGCCAGCACCCCGAAGCUGGAGCUCCUGAAAAGCCUGGGAGCCGACGUGGCCAUCGACUACACCAAGGACAACUUCGAGGACAUGCCGGAGAAGUACGACGUCGUGUUCGACGCAGUCGGCCAGGGCGAGAAGGCGGUCAAGGUGGUGAAGGAAGGCGGCAGCGUGGUGGUGCUCACCGGCGCGGUCGCGUCCCCGGGGUUCCGGUUCGUGGUCACCUCCGACGGGUCCGUCCUGGCGAAGCUCAACCCUUACCUCGAGUCCGGGAAGGUGAAGCCGGUGGUCGACCCCAAGGGGCCCUUCCCCUUCUCCCAGGUCGUGGAGGCGUUUUCCUACCUCGAGACCGGGCGAGCCACCGGCAAAGUAGUCAUUUCACCAGUUCCAUGA
RNAcentral lists this ribosomal RNA (1152 nucleotides) under Triticum aestivum (bread wheat). RNAcentral's name for it is "partial small subunit ribosomal RNA". The record is from RNAcentral. Lineage: Eukaryota; Viridiplantae; Streptophyta; Magnoliopsida; Poales; Poaceae.